GUAACUUUUAACAGAGUUACAGUGAUGAAAACAGCCCAAUCCUCCAUAACUUGUCUUAUUAUCGAUGCUACCCCACUCUCUCUGCACUUCCACUUUCUCUGUUUACACCAAUUCUCAAUAUCUGAAAAGAAAUUCCAAUUUCAUUUCUCAGAACUAAAAUGCUAAUUACCUGAAAGACUUCAUAUAUUCUCUCCCAAUUACACACGCUGCCACUUCUUCUUUUCUCCACCGGUUUUCGCAUCAUUUCAGCUCUAUAUGCACAAGGGUAUAUUAUAUUAUGUAUAUUUCUCUGUCUUGGUUGAAAAAUGUGGAGGUUGUGGAUAUCUAUGUGAAGAAAGUGCAGUGCUGACUGAUUUCAGCUGAAUUAUGUUUUCAUACUUUAAGAAAUUGAAGGUCGAUUCUUGGAUCUGCGACUUACGACGUCAUUUUCGGUUGCCUUUGAGGAGAAACUAGGGUUUUUUGAAUUUGAACGACUUCGAAUGUUUCUGAAUAAUUGAGGGUUAUAAUUAUUAUCAUUUUUUUGGUUAGUCUUUUUUUUCCCGUCAUUUAUUGGCAUGAAUCGGAGUUUUAGGGCAUCGGAGAGGGAGAAAAUGGGUAGUCUGAGAACAUCAAUGAUGAAGGAUACCAAGGAUGAGGACCUAGCAUUGUUUCGCGAGAUGCGAAAACGCGAUAAGGAACUGAAUAAUCUUCUUCUCCUUCAGAACUCUGACGAGCUUGAUUCUCCACUUGGUAUUAUAUUAAAAGUUUGAAUUUUUAAUGUCUUUUUGUUUAUAAUAUUU
Molecule: long non-coding RNA, 779 nt
Filed under: Olea europaea subsp. europaea
Lineage: Eukaryota; Viridiplantae; Streptophyta; Magnoliopsida; Lamiales; Oleaceae
Source: RNAcentral